This is a long non-coding RNA of Chloebia gouldiae (Gouldian finch), 1797 nucleotides long. The record is from Ensembl. NCBI's taxonomy places the organism in Eukaryota, Metazoa, Chordata, Aves, Passeriformes, Passeridae.
CGGACCCGAGCUCCGGGACCUCCGCCCGGUCCAUUCCCGAUGUCCCCGAGUGCCCCCGAGGUGUCCCAGGUACAGCUCCGCUCCCAGGCUGCGGGGGCACACGCCUGAAUCCCAAAAUCCACCCCAAAACCCGCCCCAAAACCCGCGACCCCCGCCCAGCCCGGCCGCGAGCUCCGGGACCCCCGCCUGAACCCCAAAAUCCACCCCAAAAUCCGCCCCAAAUUCCUUCACCCUAAAAAGCCCCGCCCCGAAAUCAUCCCAGCCCCGUUACCGCCAUUUCUCACCCUAAAACGGCACUGCGGGGUCAGGGUGACCCCAAAUCUUGGGACACCCCCCCCCAAAAAACCCAAAAACUUCGUGAACCCCAAAUCCUCUCCCCCCCCACACACACCAAAGCAGCGCGACCCCCCCCAAAAGGAGGCGAUGUUGGAGGACCCCAAAUCUGGGGACACCUGACCCCAAAAUUCGACCCCAAAACCCCCUCGGGACCUCGCAGUCCCUUUGGGGGGGCUCAGGGUGGGAACCCCCCCCAAUAUGGGGAACACCAAAACCUUUGUGCCCCUCCCCCAAAACAUCACGGCCUCGUUUUGGGGGGACCCCAAAAGCCAAAAACCCCCAAACGCCCCACCCAAAAUGGGGGGACAGUCCGACCCCCGCCCAAACCCUGUAAACCCCCCUGGGACACCCCAAAAACACCCCGGACACCCCAAAAAUCCAAAUCAGCCCGGGACACCCCAAAAUCCCUGGAAUUGGAACUUGGACUAGGACCGGGACUGGGACUGGGACCAGGACUGGGAUCAGAACCGGAAUCAGAACCAGGAUUGGGACCAGGUUUGGGACGAGGACUGGGACCAGGAUCAGACCUGGGAUUGGGACCGGGAUUGGAACCAGGACUGGGACUGGGACCGGGAUCAAAACCGGGAUUGGGGCCAAAACCGGGAUUGGGGCCAGAACCGGGAUUGGGGCAAAAAUUGGGAUUGGGAUUGGUAUUGGGAUCAGAACCAGGACUGGGACCAGGAUUGGGACUGGGACCGGCACUGGGACUGGGAUUGGGUCUGAAUUGGGACUGGGAUCAGAACCGGGAUUGGGACCAGAAUUUGGACUGGGAUCAGAACCAGGAUUGGGACUGGCAUGGGAUUGGAACUGGGACCGGGACUGGAACUGGGAUUGGGAUUGGAACUGGAAUUGGAAUCAGAACCAGCAUUGGGAUCGGGACCGGGAUUGGGGCCAAGGUUUGGAACGGGAUAGAGCCAGGGCCGGGAUUCUGGUCCAGGUUCCAAUCCCAGGGAUUUUGGGGUGUCCCGGGGAAUUUGGGGGAUUUUGGGGUGUCCUGGGCUGAUUUGGGGGAUUUUUGGGGUGUCCGGGGUGUUUUUGGAAUCAGAACUGGGAUCAGGGCCAGGAUGGGAUUGGGGCUGGGGCUAGGAUUGGGACCGGGAUCAGAACUGGGACGGGGAUAAGAACUGGGACUGGGAUCAGAACUGGGAUCGGGACCGGGACUGGAACCAGGACCGGGACUGGGACCAGGUUUGGGAUGAGGACUGGGACCAGGAUUGGGACUGGGAUCAGAACCGGGACUGGGAUCAGAACCAGGACUGGGACCACGAUUGGGACUGGGAUCAGAACCUGGACUGGGAUCAGAACCAGGACUGGGACCAGGAUUGGGACUGGGAUUGGAACCAGGACUGGGACUGGGACUGGGAUUGGGAUCAGAAUCGGAAUCAGAACUGGAACUGGGACCAGGUUUGGGAUGAGGACUGGGACCAGGAUUGAGACUGGGGCCGGGAACAGAACCGGGAU